Non-coding RNA from Macrolepiota fuliginosa MF-IS2, 121 nucleotides. NCBI's taxonomy places the organism in Eukaryota, Fungi, Basidiomycota, Agaricomycetes, Agaricales, Agaricaceae. The record is from the annotation of a GenBank genome assembly.
GGCGAGAUGGCCGAGUGGUCUAAGGCGCCAGACUAAGGACUAGGGUAUACAAAUACUCAGAUCUUCCUAUAUCAUAGGAAUCUGGUCCUCCGGGGCGUGGGUUCGAAUCCCACUCUCGUCA